UACGUAGGGUGCAAGCGUUAUCCGGAAUUAUUGGGCGUAAAGAGCUCGUAGGCGGUUUGUCACGUCUGCUGUGAAAACUGGAGGCUCAACCUCCAGCCUGCAGUGGGUACGGGCAGAUUAGAGUGCGGUAGGGGAGAUUGGAAUUCCUGGUGUAGCGGUGGAAUGCGCAGAUAUCAGGAGGAACACCGAUGGCGAAGGCAGAUCUCUGGGCCGUAACUGACGCUGAGGAGCGAAAGCGUGGGGAGCGAACAGG
Molecule: ribosomal RNA, 253 nt
Filed under: uncultured bacterium
Lineage: Bacteria
Description: partial 16S ribosomal RNA
Rfam family: Bacterial small subunit ribosomal RNA
Source: RNAcentral